Long non-coding RNA from Xyrauchen texanus (razorback sucker), 808 nucleotides. RefSeq lists it as uncharacterized. The record is from RefSeq and is a predicted model, not a curated record. NCBI's taxonomy places the organism in Eukaryota, Metazoa, Chordata, Actinopteri, Cypriniformes, Catostomidae. The transcript is spliced from 4 exons.
CCAGGAAGUGCUUUGGCGAGCAUUUCUAACUGUUAGAGUAGAGUGACAGAACUGCGAUUUCUGAUAGUACAGAGACAGACUGGUGACAGUCUUCACCAUGGUUUGCUGUGCUGCAUGGGGAUGCUCCAAUCGCUCAGAGAAAGGUGUGCGAAUGUAUGGCUUCCCCACUGACAUGGAGAGGAGAAAAAAAUGGUUGGCUCAAGUCAGCAGGAGCAAUCUAAAUAUAAAUAAAAAUUACAACAACAAAAAAAUGUGUGAGGUAAUUAUACAUUUAUUUGCACUUUUUCACAUGGAAAUACCCCAAUGGGAAUUUUUUUUACUAGAAAUAAGGACCAAGCAAAGCCUUGCAAAACCCAGGGAGCUAAAUCUCAUGGUAAGGGUGCAGUCACAUUGCAGGGAGUCAUCAGUGUUACCUAUAACUGUGCCUUUAACCAUCAUGCGAUAUGUACAGUAUGUGGGUAGACAAAGUUGUGUGUGGAAACUAAACUCAAAUCACUCUGCAGGCACAUUUUGAGGCAAACCAAUUUGUCAUGACAAAAAAAUUCAAGAGUAGGCUGAGACCAGAUGCUAUUCCCACCAUCUUUGUGCAUCGUCCUGUGGUCAAAAAGAGGAGGGCCCCUGCACCACGAUGCACCCCUAGACCUGUAAACAUACAGCACAUCGCUGCUGAUCACAGCUAUAGUAUUACAGUUUCAAAGGUUGAGGAAAAAAAGGAUGAGGACACUCAGAGAACCCAGCCAACACUAAUCCUCCACCUACCAGCACCCAGCCAACUCCUCCUUUCCAUUGAACUGCUUUACAAUAUGAU